GAUGAACGCUGGCGGCGUGCCUAAUACAUGCAAGUCGAGCGAACAGACGAGGAGCUUGCUCCUCUGACGUUAGCGGCGGACGGGUGAGUAACACGUGGAUAACCUACCUAUAAGACUGGGAUAACUUCGGGAAACCGGAGCUAAUACCGGAUAACAUGUUGAACCGCAUGGUUCAACAGUGAAAGACGGUCUUGCUGUCACUUAUAGAUGGAUCCGCGCCGCAUUAGCUAGUGGGUAAGGUAAAGGCUUACCAAGGCAACGAUGCGUAGCCGACCUGAGAGGGUGAUCGGCCACACUGGAACUGAGACACGGUCCAGACUCCUACGGGAGGCAGCAGUAGGGAAUCUUCCGCAAUGGGCGAAAGCCUGACGGAGCAACGCCGCGUGAGUGAAGAAGGUCUUCGGAUCGUAAAACUCUGUUAUUAGGGAAGAACAAAUGUGUAAGUAACUAUGCACGUCUUGACGGUACCUAAUCAGAAAGCCACGGCUAACUACGUG
RNAcentral lists this ribosomal RNA (497 nucleotides) under uncultured bacterium. RNAcentral's name for it is "partial 16S ribosomal RNA". It matches the Rfam family "Bacterial small subunit ribosomal RNA", at positions 28 to 507 of the family's 1533-position model. The record is from RNAcentral.